This is a long non-coding RNA of Sitophilus oryzae (rice weevil), 341 nucleotides long. RefSeq lists it as uncharacterized. The record is from RefSeq and is a predicted model, not a curated record. The transcript has 2 exons. NCBI's taxonomy places the organism in Eukaryota, Metazoa, Arthropoda, Insecta, Coleoptera, Curculionidae.
CAUUGCUAUGAUUGAAUGUCUUUCAAAAUUUAUGGCAUGUAGUGUUAUAAAAAAUGUGAAUAAAAAUGGUUGAAAUUUAACUGAAUGAAUUUCUUAAAAUUAAAGUACACAAAUCUAGGAAUUCUUAUUAAUAUGAUCCGAAGAAAGUCAAGAAACGAACAAAAUCUUAAUGAGAUAUGAGGAAUUAUGCUACAAAAUAAUAAAACUACAGAAUUAUCCAUGCUAGUAAUACUGGCCCUUUACGCAGUUAAUGAUUGUUAAUGUAUGAUACCCAGAAAUAAUGAUAUAAAGAUUAAUUUAUAAUAUUCCUAGAAGUGCUAAAAUAAAAUUUUAUUUCUGAA